UAUAUGAGUAAAUUCUUAAACACGUCCGAAUUUAUCAUUAUGAUAAAUUCGCAGCAAAUUUUGAAUUUAUCAUAAUAAUAAAUUCGCGGCACCUAACACUAACCCUAACCCCAACCCUAACCACUAACCCCUAACCCCUAACCCUAACCCCUAACCCCUAACCCCAACCCUAACCCCUAACCCCUAACCACUAACCCCUAACCCUCAUUUUUUCAACUUUUUAAAUUUUUUUAACUUU
Paramuricea clavata is the source of this 238-nucleotide non-coding RNA. The record is from the annotation of a GenBank genome assembly. NCBI's taxonomy places the organism in Eukaryota, Metazoa, Cnidaria, Anthozoa, Malacalcyonacea, Plexauridae.